This 76-nucleotide transfer RNA is filed under the name Pasteurellaceae bacterium 12565. RNAcentral describes it as "tRNA-Val". It matches the Rfam family "tRNA". From Rfam's summary of the family: Transfer RNA (tRNA) molecules are approximately 80 nucleotides in length. The record is from RNAcentral. Lineage: Bacteria; Pseudomonadati; Pseudomonadota; Gammaproteobacteria; Pasteurellales; Pasteurellaceae.
GGGGGUAUAGCUCAGUUGGGAGAGCACCUCCCUUACAAGGAAGAGGUCAUCGGUUCGAUCCCGUUUACCUCCACCA